UUUUGCUAUUCACUUCCCUCCCUCCCCCAUCACUAUAUCCACCCCUUCACCACUAAGGUGUUGAAAAGAGUAUUUCAAAUACUAGAGACUUGAGCUUUGGCAAAUCCAUGCAUUUCAAUAUUAUAAUCUCGAUCUGAAAGUUUGAAGUUAUUGAAGAAUUAACUUCCUAUAGUAAGGCCGCACUGCAGUGCACUGCAGCCAAUGCGUGUUUAUUUAAUUCAAUUUUUUUAAACACACUAGAUUUUUUAGCCUAUUACUGAGAUAUUCAUAUACAUAUGUCUAUAUUUAUAAACAAACAUAUAGAAAAUGUAUGCAGGUAAUAUAAUAUAUAAUAUAAUAUUGUUAUAUUCUAAGAAUUCUUCAAAAUUUCAGCUGCAUUUCCAUUUAUGUGCUCGCAGCCCUGGUAUUUUCCUAAUAUACAUAUGUACAUAUAUAUUAUAUAUGUAUAUACAUAUAUACUGAAGCGUAGCGCAAUAAAAAGAAAGAACAAAAAGAACAUCACAUCAAUUGCAUGCAGAGCAAAUGCAAUUGGUUUGCGUGGGGCCGACUCGGAGGAGGCAGUUUAUGCUCGGGAAAGAGAGAGAGAGAAAGGGUCAAUGUGUGUAGCAUUGAAGUUGUUGGCUGCAGCACCAACACUACUGCCACCGUCACCACCGCCGUCGUUGACGCUAGCUGCGCCACCCGCUUGGCCGAGCGUUGAUGUUCGAUUUUUCACCAUUCUUGAAAAUUUGAUGAGCUGCAUGUGCAAGCCUAUGUUUGUAUGUAUGCAAUUUAUAUAUAUAUAUAUAUAUAUUGAGGAGGAGACACCCCUAGCCAGCACCCAUACAUGCUUUUGUCAACUUACCACAUGAAGUUGUUGUUGCGGUUCGUACUGUUGUUGCUGCUGCUGCUGUAAGGCGGUUCCCUGCGCUGAAUAAGUUGAUAUAGCGCUAUUAA
Long non-coding RNA from Drosophila mojavensis, 936 nucleotides. RefSeq lists it as uncharacterized. The record is from RefSeq and is a predicted model, not a curated record. The transcript is spliced from 2 exons. Lineage: Eukaryota; Metazoa; Arthropoda; Insecta; Diptera; Drosophilidae.